RNAcentral lists this transfer RNA (83 nucleotides) under Lactovum miscens. It matches the Rfam family "tRNA". Rfam says of the family: Transfer RNA (tRNA) molecules are approximately 80 nucleotides in length. Their secondary structure includes four short double-helical elements and three loops (D, anti-codon, and T loops). Further hydrogen bonds mediate the characteristic L-shaped molecular structure. tRNAs have two regions of fundamental functional importance: the anti-codon, which is responsible for specific mRNA codon recognition, and the 3' end, to which the tRNAs corresponding amino acid is attached (by aminoacyl-tRNA synthetases). tRNAs cope with the degeneracy of the genetic code in two manners: having more than one tRNA (with a specific anti-codon) for a particular amino acid; and 'wobble' base-pairing, i.e. permitting non-standard base-pairing at the 3rd anti-codon position. Lineage: Bacteria; Bacillati; Bacillota; Bacilli; Lactobacillales; Streptococcaceae. The record is from Rfam by way of RNAcentral.
GCGGGAGUGGCGGAAUGGCAGACGCGCUAGCUUCAGGUGCUAGUAUUCGAAAGGGUGUGUGGGUUCAAAUCCCAUCUUCCGCA